AUACCCGCUGAACUUAAGCAUAUCAAUAAGCGGAGGAAAAGAAACCAACAGGGAUUGCCCUAGUAACGGCGAGUGAAGCGGCAACAGCUCAAAUUUGAAAUCUGGCGUCUUUGGCGUCCGAGUUGUAAUUUGCAGAGGGCGCUUUGGCAUUGGCAGCGGUCCAAGUUCCUUGGAACAGGACGUCACAGAGGGUGAGAAUCCCGUACGUGGUCGCUAGCCUUUACCGUGUAAAGCCCCUUCGACGAGUCGAGUUGUUUGGGAAUGCAGCUCUAAAUGGGAGGUAAAUUUCUUCUAAAGCUAAAUACUGGCCAGAGACCGAUAGCGCACAAGUAGAGUGAUCGAAAGAUGAAAAGCACUUUGGAAAGAGAGUUAAAAAGCACGUGAAAUUGUUGAAAGGGAAGCGCUUGCAGCCAGACUUGCCUGUAGUUGCUCAUCCGGGUUUUUACCCGGUGCACUCUUCUACGGGCAGGCCAGCAUCAGUUUGGGCGGUUGGAUAAAGGUCUCUGUCAUGUACCUCCUCUCGGGGAGAUCUUAUAGGGGAGACGACAUGCAACCAGCCUGGACUGAGGUCCGCGCAUCUGCUAGGAUGCUGGCGUAAUGGCUGUAAGCGGCCCGUCUUGAAACACGGACCAAGGAGUCUAACAUCUAUGCGAGUGUUUGGGUGUCAAGCCCGAACGCGUAAUGAAAGUGAACGGAGGUGGGAACCUUUCGGGGUGCACCAUCGACCGAUCCUGAUGUCUUCGGAUGGAUUUGAGUAAGAGCAUAGCUGUUGGGACCCGAAAGAUGGUGAACUAUGCUUGAAUAGGGUGAAGCCAGAGGAAACUCUGGUGGAGGCUCGCAGCGGUUCUGACGUGCAAAUCGAUCGUCAAAUUUGGGCAUAGGGGCGAAAGACUAAUCGAACUAUCUAGUAGCUGGUUCCUGCCGAGUC
Molecule: ribosomal RNA, 928 nt
Filed under: Epicoccum nigrum
Lineage: Eukaryota; Fungi; Ascomycota; Dothideomycetes; Pleosporales; Didymellaceae
Description: partial 28S ribosomal RNA
Rfam family: Eukaryotic large subunit ribosomal RNA
Source: RNAcentral